This 464-nucleotide ribosomal RNA is filed under the name uncultured bacterium. Its description in RNAcentral is "partial 16S ribosomal RNA". It matches the Rfam family "Bacterial small subunit ribosomal RNA", at positions 339 to 795 of the family's 1533-position model. The record is from RNAcentral.
CUACGGGGCGCUGCAGCGAGGAAUUUUGCGCAAUGGGGGAAACCCUGACGCAGCAACGCCGCGUGAGCGAAGAAGGCCCUCGGGUCGUAAAGCUCUGUCAAGUGGGAAAAAGGCCUUUUGAUUAAUACCCAAAAGGUUUGAUGGUACCACUGGAGGAAGCACCGGCUAACUCCGUGCCAGCAGCCGCGGUAAUACGGAGGGUGCAAGCGUUGUUCGGAAUUACUGGGCGUAAAGGGCGUGCAGGCGGUUUGGCAAGUCAGAUGUGAAAGCCCUGGGCUUAACCCGGGAAGUGCAUUUGAAACUGCCUUUCGUGAGUAUGGGAGAGGAGAGUGGAAUUCCCAGUGUAGAGGUGAAAUUCGUAGAUAUUGGGAGGAACACCCGUGGCGAAGGCGACUCUCUGGACCAAUACUGACGCUGAGACGCGAAAGCGUGGGGAGCAAACAGGAUUAGAUACCCGAGUAGUC